Molecule: ribosomal RNA, 878 nt
Filed under: uncultured bacterium
Lineage: Bacteria
Description: bacterial SSU rRNA
Rfam family: Bacterial small subunit ribosomal RNA
Source: RNAcentral
CGACAGGCUUAACACAUGCAAGUCGAGGGGAAACGACAUCGAAAGCUUGCUUUUGAUGGGCGUCGACCGGCGCACGGGUGAGUAACGCGUAUCCAACCUGCCCACCACUUGGGGAUAACCUUGCGAAAGUAAGACUAAUACCCAAUGAUAUCUCUAGAAGACAUCUGAAGGAGAUUAAAGAUUUAUCGGUGAUGGAUGGGGAUGCGUCUGAUUAGCUUGUUGGCGGGGUAACGGCCCACCAAGGCGACGAUCAGUAGGGGUUCUGAGAGGAAGGUCCCCCACAUUGGAACUGAGACACGGUCCAAACUCCUACGGGAGGCAGCAGUGAGGAAUAUUGGUCAAUGGGCGAGAGCCUGAACCAGCCAAGUAGCGUGCAGGAUGACGGCCCUAUGGGUUGUAAACUGCUUUUAUAAGGGAAUAAAGUGAGUCUCGUGAGACUUUUUGCAUGUACCUUAUGAAUAAGGACCGGCUAAUUCCGUGCCAGCAGCCGCGGUAAUACGGAAGGUCCGGGCGUUAUCCGGAUUUAUUGGGUUUAAAGGGAGCGUAGGCCGGAGAUUAAGCGUGUUGUGAAAUGUAGACGCUCAACGUCUGCACUGCAGCGCGAACUGGUUUCCUUGAGUACGCACAAAGUGGGCGGAAUUCGUGGUGUAGCGGUGAAAUGCUUAGAUAUCACGAAGAACUCCGAUUGCGAAGGCAGCUCACUGGAGCGCAACUGACGCUGAAGCUCGAAAGUGCGGGUAUCGAACAGGAUUAGAUACCCUGGUAGUCCGCACGGUAAACGAUGGAUGCCCGCUGUUGGUCUGAAUAGGUCAGCGGCCAAGCGAAAGCAUUAAGCAUCCCACCUGGGGAGUACGCCGGCAACGGUGAAACUCAAAGGA